Non-coding RNA from Acanthosepion pharaonis, 111 nucleotides. Lineage: Eukaryota; Metazoa; Mollusca; Cephalopoda; Sepiida; Sepiidae. The record is from the annotation of a GenBank genome assembly.
UAGCCAUAUCACAUUGAAACAUCGGUUUCUGUACGAUCACUGAAGGUAAGCAACAUCAAGCCUGGUUAGUACCUAGAUGGGUGACCACUUUUGAAAACCAGGUGCUGUAAG